Molecule: ribosomal RNA, 837 nt
Filed under: Triticum aestivum (bread wheat)
Lineage: Eukaryota; Viridiplantae; Streptophyta; Magnoliopsida; Poales; Poaceae
Description: partial small subunit ribosomal RNA
Source: RNAcentral
AUGUCCUGGGAGCGCAUGAUAAAGCCAAAAGGAGGAGGUGGCAUCAGUUUUAAAGAUAUGAAGCUCUUCAACCAAGCACUGCUCGCACGACAAGCCUGGAGGUUGAUUCUAAGGCCGGAUAGCUUGUGCGCAAGAGUUCUUAAAUCCAAGUACUACCCGUGUGGUGAACUAUUGGAUACGGUGUUUGCAACGAAUGCCUCUCCGGUUUGGCGGGGAAUUGAACAUGGGCUUGAGCUUCUCAAGGCGGGUCUUGUUUGGAGGAUCGGUAAUGGAAGGAAGGUCAGCAUUCAACGGGAUCAAUGGAUCCCGCAGGAGGAAGGACUGAAACCUGCACAAUUCAUUCGGCGCUCCAGAUUAAGAUGGGUUAAUCAGUUGAUGAAUGCCGACGACAGCGGUUGGAACUCGGAGUUAAUCCAUCAACUGUUUUUUAGUUUUGAUGCCGAAGCGAUUUGCAAUAUCAAAAUCCCAGUAUCUGAGGCGGAGGACAUGGUGGCGUGACACUAUGAGAAAUCGGGUACCUUCACUGUCUGGAGUGCGUACAGACUGGCGGCAUCUCUCCAAAUCCAGGAAAACAGGCCAGCUUCGAGUUCCACAAAUUCAGGCGAUGACCGUAGCAUCUGGGAUAUCAUUUGGAAAGCCAAGGUCCCUGAAAAAAUUAAGAUUUUUGGGUGGAGAAUAGCUACAAAUACCUUACCGACCAAAUUGAACAAAUGGAAACGUACUCUAGAAGUUGACAACACCUGCAAUAUUUGUGGCAACGGAGAGGAAGAUGAAUAUCAUGCGGUAAUUUCCUGUACAAAAAGUAAGGCCUUAAGAAGCGAAAUGCGGAAAGUCUAG